Molecule: ribosomal RNA, 440 nt
Filed under: uncultured bacterium
Lineage: Bacteria
Description: partial 16S ribosomal RNA
Rfam family: Bacterial small subunit ribosomal RNA
Source: RNAcentral
CCUACGGGUGGCAGCAGUGGGGAAUAUUGCACAAUGGGGGAAACCCUGAUGCAGCGACGCCGCGUGAGUGAAGAAGUCCUUCGUUAUGUAAAGCUCUAUCAGCAGGGAAGAAAAUGACGGUACCUGAGUAUAACUCUGCGGCUAACUCCGUGCCAGUAGCCGCGGUAAUACGUAGGGGGCAAGCGUGAUCCGGAUUUACUGGGGGUAAAGGGAGCGUAGACGGCAGUGCAAGUCUGGAGUGAAAGGCGCGGGCUCAACCCCCGGACUGCUCAGGAGACUGUACGGCUGGAGUGCAGGAGAGGUAAGUGGAAUUCCUAGUGUAGCAGUGAAAUGCGUAGAUAUUAGGAGGAACACCAGUGGCGAAGGCAGCUUACUGGACUGUAACUGACGUUGAGGCUCGAAAGCGUGGGGAGCAAACAGGAUUAGAUACCCUGGUAGUC